AAGUGAAGAAAAAGGAUAAUUAAUCUUCUUUUACUUAUGGAACAUGCAUAGCAUUCCCAUAAGAACAUUGCAAGACCUCCAGCGAAUAAGGUUCUAUGUCAAACUUAAACCAGUACUAACUGAGAUGAUGAGCAUUUAUUAAAAGGUAAGACUUAUGUUACGGGUGCAUAUGAGCCAUUUUAUCCAGAUUAGCAUCAUGUAGAUUACGCCGUGACUAUAUAAUAAGAAGCUUGAUGAGAUUAAUACUUUUGCCUUUGGUGGUAAAGGGUAAGUUCUUUGGAGUUGCGCUACACAGUCUCUCUUUUGGUGCCUUUGGAAAGAAGGAAUGGUAGAACUUUAUGGGAUAAACCCUAACGAAGCUCGUACAGUGCACAUGAUCUUCAGCAGUCAAAUUUUCAGAAAACUUCAAAACUGGAGCAACAAAUGACGCUUUGCCUAUGAGUCCCACAUGGGAUCACCUCACAUCUAGACCAGACAAGCAGAACAAGCUCAAUCAGCUUCAAUGAGAAGAAAAAAAAACAUUCCAAAACACUUGCCGACAUGUAGCUAAUAAACUGAUGGAUAAAGCUAAAAGAACAGAGCUUAUUUGAUUAACUGUAUAAAGAAUGCACGUUUCUACAAAUGACCAAUAAGGAUGACCUAUUUUCAAAUUGAUUCAUAUGUUCGAGAGACUCGACCCAAAUGAAUGAAUAGAUUAUGGUGAA
This is a long non-coding RNA of Cucumis sativus (cucumber), 704 nucleotides long. RefSeq lists it as uncharacterized. The transcript is spliced from 3 exons. NCBI's taxonomy places the organism in Eukaryota, Viridiplantae, Streptophyta, Magnoliopsida, Cucurbitales, Cucurbitaceae. The record is from RefSeq and is a predicted model, not a curated record.